This 30-nucleotide non-coding RNA is filed under the name Macaca fascicularis (crab-eating macaque). Lineage: Eukaryota; Metazoa; Chordata; Mammalia; Primates; Cercopithecidae. The record is from RNAcentral. RNAcentral also lists the same sequence under 1 other name.
UUGGAUGGUAACAAUAACCUGGAGGAUGAC